Molecule: long non-coding RNA, 1909 nt
Organism: Xiphophorus couchianus (Monterrey platyfish)
Lineage: Eukaryota; Metazoa; Chordata; Actinopteri; Cyprinodontiformes; Poeciliidae
Exons: 2
Source: RefSeq, a predicted model, not a curated record
CACUGCAGUGCUGUACCCUUUUUGUUGUCGUCUGUCUUCCUCUGACCUGGAGUGUGUUGGGUGUUGUUCCUUUGGGAUUCUCUUUGGGUUGCUUGCACUAAUGCCUCUGCUUUGAAAAAAUGAUCAGGCUUAAUAUGUGAACCUACAUCAGGGUGAAAUUAAAAAAGAAUCAUGCAGGUUCUAUAAGUCUUUUUUUCCAUUAUUAGCUUGAUAUAAAUGUCUAAAGGGUCAGUUUACCCAAAUUGUAUUUCUUUAAAUGAGAGAAUCAACCACAGGAUGUGAUGAUGCAACACGUGAUCAUUGACUUUAAGUACAACCUAUAAGAUCUUUUUUAAACAUCAAUCAGGCUCUCAUAAAAACUCUUUCUCACUGGCUUCUGCUUUCAGUUGUCAUCCACCUGCGUAUUAGGCAUUAUCAGACCCAUAAUGGUUUUAAGUGUUACUGACAAAUCUUCUCUCUGAGGAAAAACUGCUUGGAGAAGCUGUUUGAAAGCUUUGUUGGGCUUCACCCAUCAAAAUAUUACAUUGUGCAGGAAAUAACAUGUAUGUCCAGAUCAGUAUUCAUUGCGCCUGGAACCGAUUAGUCAAUUAAGAUGAAUUGUUUACCAAUGCUAAGUGCCAGGCCGAUGUGACCACAAUGCCACAUUACAUUUCAUCCAUAUUACCCCUAUGUUAGCUUAGAUGCCUAAAAUGUAGAGUAGUGCAGCAACUGCGUCCCUAUUUUUAAAAUUGAGAGAGUAAUAAAUUCGUUUUUGCUAAAAUAAAAAUCAUAAAACAGGGAAGCAAGGUUAAAGCACCUUGUAACAUAAUUUGGUGUCCAUGUUAAUUACUAUCAUGUCCGUCUUCCACUUAUUAACUCGCUCACCAAUGAUGUUCAGGAUGUUUCAGAAUCUAUUUUUCUCGAUAAUAACGUAUAUUUAUUCUCAGAUUGAGUUUCAGCUGAACAUCCUUUAUAUUUCAUGUUUCUCUAAGACCGACUUUACUCCGUUAAAGUAAAGACUCAACACUUUCCACUACUUUCAUCAAUAAAUCAAUGAAUUUAAGUUUUAGGCUAAAUCUAGCAUGUUUACUGCAUGCUUUGAUAGGACUUGUUGAUAAAUCCACUUGAAAUCUAUGCAAAACUUUAAUCUACUGCCUUUUUAACUAUUGUUUUUGCACCUCAUAUUUUGCCGUUUGCACGGUACUGGCAGACAGCUAGUAUUGUCUCUCCUUUACAGUCAGUGUAGUUUUAAGUGGUGAAAAAGGCUUAAAAAGUUGCGUUAUGCAUGUAUAAAGUCUUAAUUCAGAUCCUUGGCAGACACCAAUCUUAGUUUGUUUUUUUUAAUUAUUUUCAUUCAUUCUGAGUUUUUUUUAUUUAUUUAUUUUUUGCAGUUAUGAUUAGUUCCAUCAACAUUUUCCACCAUACUUGUUUAGUCCAUUGUUUACAUCUGACCUUGGUACUUGCCGACUCCUCCCAAUAAAAUUGCGAUGUUUGUCACACCUCAGUGACUUAAAAGUUGGAUGAAAUGUGACAUGACCGUUCCAGCUGGUUGCACCAACAUCAGAUAAGGAUCCAGUUUGGGAGCGUGUAUUUAAGCGACCUGGGUGUGAUAUCGAGAAGAAAAUUGAUUUGUGCUAAAAAAUAAAAAAAUCAGAUACCAGUAACACAUUGGUAGAGAAGUUGGCUUUGCGCCACUUUUGUCUGCUGUGUGAACAUUUGGUCAUUCACACCCAGAUUUGUUUGAUCAACAGCGAAAUGUGCAAAGCCUGUGAAACAGCUUUACAAAACAUGCACAUGAUAAAAAGCAGUGAUUUUAAAACAUCAACAUAAAUUUAAAAAGUUUCAAUCACAUACGUACAUUUUUGCAAUGUUAAUUACUUGCUUAGAUACUAUUUGAUUGGGUGUUGGAAAAACGUCGAGGCAAUGUUGG